This 253-nucleotide ribosomal RNA is filed under the name uncultured bacterium. Its description in RNAcentral is "partial 16S ribosomal RNA". It matches the Rfam family "Bacterial small subunit ribosomal RNA", at positions 524 to 776 of the family's 1533-position model. The record is from RNAcentral.
UACGAAGGGGGCUAGCGUUGCUCGGAAUCACUGGGCGUAAAGCGCACGUAGGCGGAUUGUUAAGUCAGGGGUGAAAUCCUGGAGCUCAACUCCAGAACUGCCUUUGAUACUGGCGAUCUUGAGUCCGGGAGAGGUGAGUGGAACUGCGAGUGUAGAGGUGAAAUUCGUAGAUAUUCGCAAGAACACCAGUGGCGAAGGCGGCGCACUGGCCCGGUACUGACGCUGAGGUGCGAAAGCGUGGGGAGCAAACAGG